Molecule: non-coding RNA, 1199 nt
Organism: Peromyscus maniculatus bairdii (prairie deer mouse)
Lineage: Eukaryota; Metazoa; Chordata; Mammalia; Rodentia; Cricetidae
Source: RefSeq, a predicted model, not a curated record
UGGCAUGGAGAGCCUGGCACACAGCAGGGGACUCUUUUCUCGUUUCUCCCCGAUAGCCUAGGGUUCAUUUCAAGUCCACCCGCAGCAUGUGGCCCUGCUUGAGUUCUUUCAGCAGAGACUCUGGGUAGUCAGAGCACCUAGCACCCAUGUCCACAGCCUACUGAUGGGGUCUCUGAGAAGCCAGGUGGGGGGCACGUCUCAUCUGGGCAGGAUGAGGGCUGUGGGCAGUGUAUCCCUGUCUCUCAGACACAGGGACCCUGUCCUUGCUUGACCACACUGUCUGUGGUUGGUCUCAGGGCAUUCUUCCAGGCUGUCAGGGAGGGAGAGGCAGGAGGCAGAUGGUGAAGGGCAGGUGUGUAAACACCACACCUGGUGUUGAGUCCCGGCUCAAACAUUAUUUGUGGGAUAACUGUGGGCAAAUUAGUUAAUGUCUGUCUCUAGGUUUCAAAUUUUGGGGUUUGGGGAUCGUGUGUGUGUGUGUGUGACUGUGUUCAUGUGCGCAUACAUAUGUGUCAGGGAGGGCAUGCACAUAGACCUGUGGAGGUCAGAGGGCAACAUUGUGAUGUCUUCCUCAAUCACUCUCCACCUCUUUUUUGAGACAGUGUCUCUCACUGACGCCCAAACUUACCAGCUGGGUUAGAUUGGCUGCCCAAGGAGUCCCCCCCCAUCUCCUGUCUCUGCUCAUGCCAUGGUGAGGUCACAGACACUUGGAGCCACACCUCUUUUUACUUGGGCGCUGGGGCUCUGGACUCAGAUCCACAUGAUUGUGCACCAGGCACUUUACCCUGAGCGUCUCCCCAGCCCUGGUUCCUACUUCUUUAUUGAUAGUAUACGGCCUGAGAUUUCUGUACAGGAAGGGAAGAUGUUGAGUGGAGCUGCAGUGGAGACCAUGACAUCAGCUCAGAGUCCUUGUAGAUGGCAGAGGUUGUAAAUCACAAUGGCAAUAAGAAGAGAAGCAGUCUCUCUGAGGACAAACAGGGAUGCAGGCGAAGCACCUAAGAGAGAGACGUUCAUUCUCGCUAGAGACAGCUAGACGCCUGAUCUAGCUAAGGAGCUCCACCAUGGUCAUGAGGAAAAGCCGGAAGAGCAGAAGUUUUGGUGCUGGUUUUCAUAGACUCUUUAUCAAGUCAGGAAGCCAAAGGUACUGUCAGUUUCCACACAGGAGUCUUGAGAUUCGAAAAAUUAAAUCUGGAAUAAUA